GAUGAAGAACGCAGCGAAAUGCGAUAAGUAAUGUGAAUUGCAGAAUUCAGUGAAUCAUCGAAUCUUUGAACGCACAUUGCGCCCGCCAGUAUUCUGGCGGGCAUGCCUGUUCGAGCGUCAUUUCAACCAUCAAGCCCCCGGCUUGUGUUGGGGACCUGCGGCUGCCGCAGGCCCUGAAAACCAGUGGCGGGCUCGCUAGUCACUCCGAGCGUAGUAAUACAUCUCGCUCAGGGCGUGCUGCGGGUUCCGGCCGUUAAAAAAGCCUUAUUUACCCAAGGUUGACCUCGGAUCAGGUAGGAAGACCCGCUGAACUUAAGCAUACCAAUAAGCGGAGGA
This 336-nucleotide unclassified non-coding RNA is filed under the name soil metagenome. RNAcentral's name for it is "partial contains 5.8S ribosomal RNA, internal transcribed spacer 2, and large subunit ribosomal RNA". The stretch from base 1 to 120 matches the Rfam family "5.8S ribosomal RNA", at positions 35 to 154 of the family's 154-position model. The record is from RNAcentral.